GGGGCAUUAGCUCAGUUGGUAGAGCAACUCCCUUUUAAGGAGGAGGUCCUGGGUUCGAGCCCCGGAUGCCCCACCA
RNAcentral lists this transfer RNA (76 nucleotides) under Candidatus Altimarinota bacterium. RNAcentral's name for it is "Candidatus Gracilibacteria bacterium tRNA-Lys". It matches the Rfam family "tRNA". From Rfam's summary of the family: Transfer RNA (tRNA) molecules are approximately 80 nucleotides in length. Their secondary structure includes four short double-helical elements and three loops (D, anti-codon, and T loops). The record is from RNAcentral. Lineage: Bacteria; Candidatus Altimarinota.